Molecule: unclassified non-coding RNA, 385 nt
Filed under: Hevea brasiliensis (rubber tree)
Lineage: Eukaryota; Viridiplantae; Streptophyta; Magnoliopsida; Malpighiales; Euphorbiaceae
Source: RNAcentral
GUCAAACAUGUAUGCCGCAGCAAGGAGCUGGGAAAAUGUAGCUUCUGUUAGGAAAACUAUGAAAGAGAAAGGAGUAAAGAAAGAACCAGGAUUAAGUUGGAUUGAAAACCAAGGCAGUGUUCACUAUUUCUCUGUGGGGGAUAUUUCACAUCCCGACAUGAAGUUGAUUAAUGGGAUGCUCGAGUGGUUGAACAUGAAAACCAGGAAGGCAGGUUAUGUUCCCAAUCUUAAUGCUGUUUUGCUUGAUGUUGAAGAUGAUGAAAAGGAGCACCGUUUGUGGGGACACAGUGAAAGACUAGCUUUAGCUUUUGGUCUAAUUAGAACACCAUCUACAGGCCACAUUCGCAUCAUUAAAAACCUCCGAAUAUGUGCAGACUGCCAUUCA